Molecule: ribosomal RNA, 742 nt
Filed under: uncultured Microvirga sp.
Lineage: Bacteria; Pseudomonadati; Pseudomonadota; Alphaproteobacteria; Hyphomicrobiales; Methylobacteriaceae
Description: bacterial SSU rRNA
Rfam family: Bacterial small subunit ribosomal RNA
Source: RNAcentral
AGAGUUUGAUCCUGGCUCAGAACGAACGCUGGCGGCAGGCCUAACACAUGCAAGUCGAACGCAUCCUUCGGGAUGAGUGGCAGACGGGUGAGGAACACGUGGGAACGUGCCCAUCGGAUCGGAAUAACCCAGGGAAACUUGGGCUAAGACCGGAUACGCCCUUUUGGGGAAAGAUUUAUCGCCGAUGGAUCGGCCCGCGUCUGAUUAGCUUGUUGGUGGGGUAACGGCCCACCAAGGCGACGAUCAGUAGCUGGUCUGAGAGGAUGAUCAGCCACACUGGGACUGAGACACGGCCCAGACUCCUACGGGAGGCAGCAGUGGGGAAUAUUGGACAAUGGGCGCAAGCCUGAUCCAGCCAUGCCGCGUGAGUGAUGAAGGCCCUAGGGUUGUAAAGCUCUUUCGCACGCGACGAUAAUGACGGUAGCGUGAGAAGAAGCCCCGGCUAACUUCGUGCCAGCAGCCGCGGUAAUACGAAGGGGGCUAGCGUUGUUCGGAAUCACUGGGCGUAAAGGGCGCGUAGGCGGCCGAUCAAGUCGGGGGUGAAAGCCUGUGGCUCAACCACAGAAUGGCCUUCGAUACUGUUUGGCUUGAGACCGGAAGAGGUCAGUGGAACUGCGAGUGUAGAGGUGAAAUUCGUAGAUAUUCGCAAGAACACCAGUGGCGAAGGCGGCUGACUGGUCCGGUUCUGACGCUGAGGCGCGAAAGCGUGGGGAGCAAACAGGAUUAGAUACCCCGGUAGUCC